AGAGUUUGAUCCUGGCUCAGGAUGAACGCUGGCGGUAUGCUUAACACAUGCAAGUCGAACGGACUCUUCGGAGUUAGUGGCGGACGGGUGAGUAACGCGUGAGAAUCUGGCUUCAGGUUCGGGACAACAGUUGGAAACGGCUGCUAAUACCGGAUGUGCCUUAUGGUGAAAGAUUUAUCACCUGAAGAUGAGCUCGCGUCUGAUUAGCUAGUAGGUGUGGUAAGAGCGCACCUAGGCGACGAUCAGUAGCUGGUCUGAGAGGAUGAUCAGCCACACUGGGACUGAGACACGGCCCAGACUCCUACGGGAGGCAGCAGUGGGGAAUUUUCCGCAAUGGGCGAAAGCCUGACGGAGCAAUACCGCGUGAGGGAGGAAGGCUCUUGGGUUGUAAACCUCUUUUCUCAGGGAAGAAUGAUGACGGUACCUGAGGAAUAAGCAUCGGCUAACUCCGUGCCAGCAGCCGCGGUAAUACGGAGGAUGCAAGCGUUAUCCGGAAUGAUUGGGCGUAAAGCGUCCGCAGGUGGCAAUGUAAGUCUGCUGUCAAAGCGUCUGGCUCAACCAGAUAAAGGCAGUGGAAACUACAUAGCUAGAGUAAGGUAGGGGUAGAGGGAAUUCCUGGUGUAGCGGUGAAAUGCGUAGAGAUCAGGAAGAACACCGGUGGCGAAAGCGCUCUGCUGGACCUUAACUGACACUGAGGGACGAAAGCUAGGGGAGCGAAUGGGAUUAGAUACCCCAGUAGUCCUAGCCGUAAACGAUGGAUACUAGGCGUUGCCCGUAUCGACCCGGGCAGUGUCGUAGCUAACGCGUUAAGUAUCCCGCCUGGGGAGUACGCAGGCAACUGUGAAACUCAAAGGAAUUGACGGGGGCCCGCACAAGCGGUGGAGUAUGUGGUUUAAUUCGAUGCAACGCGAAGAACCUUACCAGGGCUUGACAUGUCCGGAAUCCUCUUGAAAGGGAGGAGUGCCUUCGGGAGCCGGAACACAGGUGGUGCAUGGCUGUCGUCAGCUCGUGUCGUGAGAUGUUGGGUUAAGUCCCGCAACGAGCGCAACCCUCGUUCUUAGUUGCCAUCAUUAAGUUGGGAACUCUAAGGAGACUGCCGGUGACAAACCGGAGGAAGGUGGGGAUGACGUCAAGUCAGCAUGCCCCUUACGCCCUGGGCUACACACGUACUACAAUGCUAUGGACAAAGGGCAGCAAGCCAGCGAUGGCAAGCAAAUCUCGUAAACCAUGGCUCAGUUCAGAUCGCAGGCUGCAACUCGCCUGCGUGAAGUCGGAAUCGCUAGUAAUUGCAGGUCAGCAUACUGCAGUGAAUUCGUUCCCGGGCCUUGUACACACCGCCCGUCACACCAUGGAAGCUGGUCACGCCCGAAGUCGUUACCCUAACCUUUCGAGGAGGGGGACGCCGAANGUAGGACUGGUGACUGGGGUGAAGUCGUAACAAGGUAGCCGUACCGGAAGGUGUGGCUGGAUCA
This 1472-nucleotide ribosomal RNA is filed under the name Kalymmatonema hyalinum ATE714. RNAcentral's name for it is "bacterial SSU rRNA". It matches the Rfam family "Bacterial small subunit ribosomal RNA". The record is from RNAcentral. Lineage: Bacteria; Bacillati; Cyanobacteriota; Cyanophyceae; Nostocales; Scytonemataceae.